UAUCAAGUGUGUUUUGACAUUUCUGUUUGCCCAAGUUUGUGGUACUUUUUGAAUUUUGACUGUACAUUUUGAUUGUAUGUGUGUUCCAAUUUGACAACAUCAGCUACUAUUUUCCUUCUAGUCUUGUCGCUUUCUUGCACGUUUAUUAAUCCAAGCCUUGGAAGGAGAAAACAGCAGCGUAGUUUUCGAAAAUACAUACACAGAAAUGUACUUGCCACCUGGAAAUAAUUAUCAUUUGUAAAACAGUAUUUUAAAAAUACAACAAAACAUGAAUUCAAUUAUUAACGUGAAUUAUAGAUAUUUCUCUGUAUUCUUAAAAUGUUUGCAUUUUGUUCAUGUUGCAGGAACAACUACAUAUACUUGAGACAAGAGCAGCUUUGUUAGAACAAGGAAAGCAUAUCGAGGUCAAUGCACUAUAUCUAUAUCUAAAAAUCUGAUCUUCAUAGACAGGUAGAGGCAUGGAGGAAGGACCACUGUGGAUCUUGGGUGUGUGAAGUAGACA
This 502-nucleotide long non-coding RNA is filed under the name Anolis carolinensis (green anole). RNAcentral's name for it is "lncRNA (ENSACAG00000037237.1)". Lineage: Eukaryota; Metazoa; Chordata; Lepidosauria; Squamata; Anolidae. The record is from RNAcentral.